UACGGAGGAUGCGAGCGUUAUCCGGAUUUAUUGGGUUUAAAGGGUGCGUAGGCGGAUCGUUAAGUCAGUGGUCAAAUUGAGGGGCUCAACCCCUUCCCGCCAUUGAAACUGGCGAUCUUGAGUGGAAGAGAAGUAUGCGGAAUGCGUGGUGUAGCGGUGAAAUGCAUAGAUAUCACGCAGAACCCCGAUUGCGAAGGCAGCAUGCCGGCUUCCUACUGACGCUGAAGCACGAAAGCUGGGGGAGCGAACAGG
This 252-nucleotide ribosomal RNA is filed under the name uncultured bacterium. RNAcentral's name for it is "partial 16S ribosomal RNA". It matches the Rfam family "Bacterial small subunit ribosomal RNA", at positions 524 to 776 of the family's 1533-position model. The record is from RNAcentral.